AGGCCUUCGGGUUGUAAAGCACUUUUGUCCGGAAAGAAAUGGCUCUGGUUAAUACCCGGGGUCGAUGACGGUACCGGAAGAAUAAGGACCGGCUAACUACGUGCCAGCAGCCGCGGUAAUACGUAGGGUCCAAGCGUUAAUCGGAAUUACUGGGCGUAAAGCGUGCGCAGGCGGUUGUGCAAGACCGAUGUGAAAUCCCCGAGCUUAACUUGGGAAUUGCAUUGGUGACUGCACGGCUAGAGUGUGUCAGAGGGGGGUAGAAUUCCACGUGUAGCAGUGAAAUGCGUAGAGAUGUGGAGGAAUACCGAUGGCGAAGGCAGCCCCCUGGGAUAACACUGACGCUCAUGCACGAAAGCGUGGGGAGCAAACAGGAUUAGAUACCCUGGUAGUCCACGCCCUAAACGAUGUCAACUAGUUGUUGGGGAUUCAUUUCCUUAGUAACGUAGCUAACGCGUGAAGUUGACCGCCUGG
This 471-nucleotide ribosomal RNA is filed under the name uncultured Ralstonia sp. RNAcentral's name for it is "bacterial SSU rRNA". It matches the Rfam family "Bacterial small subunit ribosomal RNA", at positions 412 to 876 of the family's 1533-position model. Lineage: Bacteria; Pseudomonadati; Pseudomonadota; Betaproteobacteria; Burkholderiales; Burkholderiaceae. The record is from RNAcentral.